RNAcentral lists this ribosomal RNA (253 nucleotides) under uncultured bacterium. RNAcentral describes it as "partial 16S ribosomal RNA". It matches the Rfam family "Bacterial small subunit ribosomal RNA", at positions 524 to 776 of the family's 1533-position model. The record is from RNAcentral.
UACGUAGGGUGCAAGCGUUGUCCGGAAUUAUUGGGCGUAAAGAGCUCGUAGGCGGUCUGUCGCGUCGGAUGUGAAAAUCCAGGGCUCAACCCUGGACCUGCAUUCGAUACGGGCAGACUAGAGUUCGGUAGGGGAGACUGGAAUUCCUGGUGUAGCGGUGAAAUGCGCAGAUAUCAGGAGGAACACCGAUGGCGAAGGCAGGUCUCUGGGCAUUAACUGACGCUGAGGAGCGAAAGCAUGGGGAGCGAACAGG